Molecule: ribosomal RNA, 456 nt
Filed under: Skrjabinoporus merops
Lineage: Eukaryota; Metazoa; Platyhelminthes; Cestoda; Cyclophyllidea; Metadilepididae
Description: SSU rRNA
Rfam family: Eukaryotic small subunit ribosomal RNA
Source: RNAcentral
GAUGUUGCCUGAAAAGUUUUGCAUGGAAUAAUGGAAUAGGACUUCGGUUCUAUUUCGUUGGUUUUCGGAUCCGAAGUAAUGAUCAAAAGAGACAGGCGGGGACGUUUGUAUGGCUGCGCUAGAGGUGAAAUUCAUGGACCGUAGCCAGACAAACUAAAGCGAAAGCAUUCGUCAAGCAUGUUUUCAUUGGCCAUGAGCGAAAGUCAGAGGCUCGAAGACGAUCAGAUACCGUCCUAGUUCUGACCAUAAACGAUGCCAACUGACGAUCCGUGGUGGUAGUGCUAGAACCUUCCCCACGGGCAGUCCCCGGGAAACCUUUAAGUCUUUGGGUUCCGGGGGAAGUAUGGUUGCAAAGCUGAAACUUAAAGGAAUUGACGGAAGGGCACCACCAGGAGUGGAGCCUGCGGCUUAAUUUGACUCAACACGGGAAAACUCACCCGGGCCGGACACUAUGAG